GCUGGGUUCGUAUAACGGUUAGUACCCAAGAUUCUCAAUCUUGUAAUAGGAGUUCGAUUCUCCUACCCAGUA
Molecule: transfer RNA, 72 nt
Filed under: Bacteroidales bacterium
Lineage: Bacteria; Pseudomonadati; Bacteroidota; Bacteroidia; Bacteroidales
Also listed under: 2 other names
Description: tRNA-Glu
Rfam family: tRNA
About the family: Transfer RNA (tRNA) molecules are approximately 80 nucleotides in length. Their secondary structure includes four short double-helical elements and three loops (D, anti-codon, and T loops).
Source: RNAcentral